CCUACGGGGGGCAGCAGUGGGGAAUAUUGCACAAUGGGGGAAACCCUGAUGCAGCGACGCCGCGUGAGUGAAGAAGUAAUUCGUUACGUAAAGCUCUAUCAGCAGGGAAGAAAUACUGACCUUACGGUCAGCAGACGGUACCUGAGUAAGAAGCCCCGGCUAACUACGUGCCAGCAGCCGCGGUAAUACGUAGGGGGCAAGCGUUAUCCGGAUUUACUGGGUGGAAAGGGAGCGUAGACGGUGCGCCAAGGCUGGAGUGAAAUGCCGCAGCUUAACUGCGGAACUGCUUUGGAAACUGGCGAACUAGAGUGCGGGAGGGGUAAGCGGAAUUCCUAGUGUAGCGGUGAAAUGCGUAGAUAUUAGGAGGAACACCGGUGGCGAAGGCGGCUUACUGGACCGUAACUGACGUUGAGGCUCGAAAGCGUGGGGAGCAAACAGGAUUAGAUACCCGGGUAGUC
RNAcentral lists this ribosomal RNA (458 nucleotides) under uncultured bacterium. RNAcentral describes it as "partial 16S ribosomal RNA". It matches the Rfam family "Bacterial small subunit ribosomal RNA", at positions 338 to 795 of the family's 1533-position model. The record is from RNAcentral.